Gallus gallus (chicken) is the source of this 621-nucleotide long non-coding RNA. Lineage: Eukaryota; Metazoa; Chordata; Aves; Galliformes; Phasianidae. The record is from Ensembl.
GAGGAACUUGGGAUCAGCAGCUUCUGUGGGACAUUCUCUGAGAUUGGGGGACUGCUUGUACUAAGCUUUAUAGUGGACCUUCACGUUCUGAGUUUCUGAAAUGUUGGUGAUGUCUGAGAAAGGGAAGAUAAAUCAUGCUGCCACUGCUCUCUGCACACCCACCUCUGCAAAGUAUCUAAAAUCGAGUUUUGGAUCUCAGACAUCAUCCUGAGAAACACUGUUUACACACAUUAAAGGAAGAGGGAGACAAACAAAAUAAUGAAAAUAUUUGUUUUUGCCAGUCCUACUUAGCCAAGAAAGAAGCAGAAACGGAUCACAGCCAGAACACGCUGUACCCAGUGCUUGCUGGCUGAUGAUCGCCUUCUAUAAAAUUAACCCAUCUGACCUAAUGCUCCACCUCAGCCCUACAACAUCUGCUGGCAAGCAGAGGAGCUCCCUAUGUAAAGACAAUUAACUCCAUGGCAGAGCAAGGCAAGCAGGCAGAAAGAAAAGGCAGGAGUCCCUGUUGUCUCUGUGGGGCAUUGGGAGUGGCAGUACCACUGGCACAGACCCUGGGCACAGCUGACCCCGCUUCACUCCCCGCAUAGCAAGCGCCCCAAACCAGUCAUGCAUCAAAACAGG